UAUGUACUCCAGAUGUGAUAACUGACAUUAUUUACUCCAGAUGUGAUAUUGACAUUAUUUACUGCAGAUGUGAUACUGACAUUAUUUACUCCAGAUGUGACACUGACAUUAUUUACUCCAGAUGUGAUGCUGACAUUAUUUACUCCAGAUGUGACACUGACAUUAUGUACUCCAGAUGUGAUACCUGACGUUAUUUACACCAGAUGUGAUGUCUGACGUUAUUUACUCCAGAUGUGAUACUGACAUUACUUACUCCAGAUGUGACACCGACAUUAUGUACUCCAGAUGUGAUAACUGACAUUAUUUACUCCAGAUGUGAUACCUGACAUUACUUACUCCAGGUGUGAUACCUGACAUUAUUUACUGCAGAUGUGAUACCUGACAUUAUUUAGUCCAGAUGUAAUAUUGACAUUAUUUACUCCAGAUGUGAUACCUGACUGAGAAGUCUACAGUGGCACCUUUGCAGUACAGAACUCUGGCCAAAAAUAUUCAACCUGCAUCUAAUCUUGUGUAAGCAACCAGAUUAACCCACAUAUGGGACACUCUACAAGACAACUGGCCUGGACUCUUUAUCAAAAACUGAUUUCACAUAAACAAAGAACAAUAACAACAAUAAAAAGGCGAAAGACUGUUUUAGAUGAAAAGAGACUGAAGAGACAUAACAACCAAAUAUCAUACAUGAUCUUGAUUGGAUCCUGGAUAGGAAAAAAAAAAUCCAGCGUUAAAAGCUCUUCCGGGGACAAUUGUAGAGAUUUGAAUACAGAUAGUACACUGGGUGCUAUUACGGUUGUGACCACGGUAUUGUGGUUUUGUGGGAGAAUAUCCUUAUUAGGAGAUGCUGAGAUAUCUAGAAGUGAAGUGUCAAGAUGUCAGCAACUUGCUUUCAAAUUGCUCGGCAAAAUAAAAGUAUGUGGAAAUAUACAAAGACAGAGAGACCAAGAGAGACAAAGCAAUUGCGGCAAAAUGUUAACAGUUGGAGAAUCCAGGCUCUGAUGGGCCAGGGGUCCAAGAUCAAGGUGUCAGCAGGGCCACACUCCCUCUGGAGGCUCCAAGAAGAGUCUGCUCCUGCCUCUUCCAGGCCAUCCUGGCUUGUGGCUGCAACUCCCAAGUCGCUGCCUCUGCCUUCACGUGGCCUUCUCCUCUUCCAUCUCUGUGUCUCUCCUCUGCACGUCUCAUAUAAGGACAUUCAUCCUGGGAUUUACAACCCAUCCUAGAUAAUGAUCCCAAGAAUCAUUUCAUCUCAAGAUCUUUAACUUGAACCAGGCACAGUGGCUCACGCCUGUAAUCUCAGCAUUUUGAGAGGCCGAGGCAGGUGGAUCACUUGAGCCCAGGAGUUCAAGACCAGUGUGGGCAACUUAGGGAGACCUCAUCUCUACAAAAAAUACACACAAAAAAUUAACCAGGAGUGGUGGAGUGCAACCCUAGUCCCAGCUACUCGGGAGGCUGAGGCCAGAGGAUCGCUUGAGCCUGGGAGGUUCAGGCUGCAGUGAGCCGUGAUUGUGCCACUGCCUUCCAGCCUGGAUGACACAGUGAGACCCUAUCUCACACACACACACACACACACACACACACGAUCCUUAAGACCAGCCUGGGCAACAUAGGGAGCUUCACGCGCAGCAGGUGCUCAUUCAAUGUUGUAAAUUACAUUUGCAAAGACCCUUUUUCCAAAUAAGGUCACACUUCUGGGUCCCAGGAAUUAUAAUGUAGAUGUAUCUUUUGGGGGGCCACCAUUAGACGCACUACAGUAUGAGACUUUCACAGACCACGGGGGACAGGAGGCAGCGGUUAAGCCUUGUUUCUUUCUGACUUGUCAAUGGCGCCCUGUGGUGAGGGCCACUCAUACUGGAACUGUGCUGAGAAACCCAUCCCUCCCUCCAGCUCUCACUGCCGAAGAAAAUAGGCAUUCUGAGAAAUGCUAGUGGGCCCCAACCCCUUCCUAGCCAUGCAAGCGACCCCCUCUUCAGGACCUAUUUCCAAGCCCCCUGCUUUGAGGCCCAUGCUGUUCAUCCCAGACCCCAGCUGCCUCACUCUCCAUUGAGUCCUAUGACCCUGAGCCUUGAUUUCACUUGCUCAAACCCCUCAUAAGCAUUUGCUGGCUGUCCAAUGUACUUUGGACCCCAGGCUUAUGAGAAAACUCAUCUGGCAAUUAAUCCUACACUCACCUUGGACCAGUUCUGCGAAGUCCCAGAUUCCUGUGGGGAGAGUGGGCAUUUCAAAAGCGUAGAGAAGCUAACAAGCCUCUCGUCAAAAUCACCCUCAAAGAUCACCUAUAAACCACCAGAAGCCAGGACCGUGAAGUUCAAAAGCAGAAAUCCACCUGUUACCUGCAGGGAGAGGAUCCCUGGCCCUGGGGCAGGUCGACUUUGGUGAUGAAGGGAGGGAGGAGGAGGGAAAUGGAUUUGUUACAGAGAUUUUGAUCUUUUCUUCCUUCGCCUCUGGAUUUUAUAAGUGGCUUUCCUGGACUAAGCCCCCAGGCAUGUGUGUGGCAAUCACUGUAUUUUAUUCUCUUGGAUGAGCUGCCUUGAGAACAAGGCUCCUGAGGGCAGAAAGAAGCUCCCCUAUCUCCCCGUGAGUGGGUCACAGGGUAGCCUGUGCAAGGCUGGGCAGGGCAGGCGCUGGAUAAAGUCACUGGGGAGAGGGGAGGAAGGGGGCAGGAGGUCCACACCUGUGGGUCCCACGACUCAGGCGACCCCUUAAGGGACUGCUGUCACCAAGAGGAAUACUGGGGUGAGCUUUCCCACCUCCCCACCCAGAUCCGUUGUCCCCUCUGGGUCACGCAUGUGUCCAAAGCCAUGACAGGGACAGACAAAGGCCCACACGACGUGGGCCCACACUCGGUUCCAGGGCUGAGUCCUGUGCCCAGCGCCUGACACAGCUCCACGCCCAGCUGGUGCUCAUUCAAUGCUGAAUGCCUCAGAGAAUCUUCAGGCCUGCCAUUCUCAGCCAGGGCCUUGAGAGUCCCCGCAUUAGUCAGGUUUCCCCAGAGAAACAGAACCAAUGGGAUGUGGACAGGGAGAGAGAGAGAGGGAGAGACAGAGGGAGAAAGAGAGGUUGAUGUUAAGGAACCGGCUCACUGAUUGUGGAGGCGGGCAAGCCCACAUCUGCAGGGUAGGCCUGGGCGCCAGGGACCCAGAAAGAGCUGAUGCUGCAGUUCUAGUCCCAAAGCCAUCUGCUGACAAAUCCCCCCUCUCAGGAAUGUUUUUCUUUUCCAAGGCGAGGAAGAGGUGGGAGGUGAAGGGUGAGGGUCAGUCUUUGUCUUCAGGUCUUCAACAGAUGGAGCAGGACCCGCCCGCCCGGUGAGGUAAUCUGCUUCACUCAGCACUCAUCCACUGAUUCAGAUGUUACUCUUACCAAAAAAUACUUUCCCAGAUACAUCUAGAAUAAUGGCUGAUCAAAUAUCCGGGUACCAUGGUCCAGCCAAAUUGAUGCAUAAAAUUAUCCUCCCACUUCCCCGCCCCUGGCCCCUGCAAGGCCCUCCGCAGUUCUCUGAGGAGUCUGGAUCUCCACCUUCUCCUCUUUGCCCUCCCGCUUCCAGGCUCUGCAACCCUGAGGCUCUUCCCUGCCCUGUUCUACCCAAAGGGGCCUCAGGGACUUGAAUUCCUCCUUCUUGGACCUUUUUCUCUUUCCAGUCAGUGGAUCCCAUCAGUUCGAGGGCUUCUGGAAUGAUGUUUUCCCCAAGAAGCCUCUCCUGUAUAAAACUGGGGGUUGUUGGCUGUGCCCAGAGGAUGGGGGUGGCUUCCCUGCCCUCUCCACCCCCCACACCCCUGCCCCCUUCCCCCUGCAUCACUGCCGGCCUGGACGGGGGGUGGGGGUUGGGGGAAUAUAAGCCCUGGACUGGGUGCCCUUAUCUUGCUUUAAUUUCCUCUAAAGCUCAGCACCAUGUGAGGUUACAGUAGUGGCCGAUCUUGUUUACUCUUUCUGUCCUACCGGAGUAUAAGCUCCGGGGGGCAGGGACUUCAUUCCCAGAGCCUAGCCCAGGACCUGCACACGGAGGCACUCAGGGUGUUUGUUGAUUGAAUGAAAAACGUUCACUGAACACCUCUGCUGUGCAGCACACACUGUGCCAGGGCGUGGACGAAAGCUCAGCUGCCCAGGCCAUUGACUAUUUCUGAGCAUUUCCACUCUCACGUUGUAUACCCCUCGUUUCUCUCUUCCUGGAGGGGCUCCCUACCUGAGUGCGGGAAUCAUCUUCCUUCCUCUCUCCUGGAGUCUGCCCUGACUUGGUGUCUCAAGACAGGGACUGGGUCCCCUUUGAGCCCCUGGAGGAAUGUGAACUGAGCAGAUGAGGAGAUGCCUCCUGUCUACUUGGAGGAAAGGGACCAGGACACACAGAGGUUCAGGGGGCUGAACCCUCGGUUCCAUCCGGAGUGACGCGGUUCAGAGACUUUGCAGAGGAAAGGGGCGCGGGAUGUGCUUUGGGAAUAGAGUUCCACCUUUGCACCCGGCUCAGCACCUGUCCUGCCCUCCGGAGAUUCCUUGAGUCCACCUGGAUCCGAGAGGAGAAGCUGUUGAUCAUUUCCUGUCCCCUGAGGCUGUGAUCCCCGGCCGACCGGACCGGUGGCCCUGCAGCGCCCCCUGGUGGCCGGCGACGCUCAGCCAGCGCAGGUAAUCGCCGCCCAGGCCAAGGACCAGAAUCAGGAGCAGGAUCAGGGUCAGGGUCAGGGCCAGGGCCAGGGCCAGGGCCAGGGCGGGAGGGAGAUUUAUCCCCGUGCACACCUCUAACUUAUCCCUCCUACACAAGGCAGGACUCCGGCUUCUUUCCCUUUUCUGUGUAUUUCAAAAGGAAUGUACAUUGAGCAUAAAAAAUAUAUGAAAACAAAAAGAAGCCCCCAGUCAAAGCUGUGAUACUGUGUCCCAGCAGGACCAGCCAGGCCUGGGUCUCAAUCCCAGACCUGCCAUCUACCAGCUGACUGAAUCUGAACAAGACGCUUAACUCUCCGAGCCACAGUUUCUGCAUCUGCAGCCUGGGAAUGGUGUGCUCUCCAUUGCUGGGUUGUGUAAAGAUGGCCUAUGUACCCAGCACAUAGGAGAGCCCCAACUGAUGGAGGCAAUUCUUGUUAGACACAAAGGGGAAUCUGUUAAAUGUCCUUCAGUUUCUGCUCAGGUGUUCCCCGGGCGGUGAGAGAUGUUCCCAAAGAUAUAACUGCCUGCCUGAUCGCCCAAGCAAAGACUGUAUUUCCCAGACUUUCUGGCAGCCAGAGUUGGUCACAGGGCUAAUUCUGGUCCAUGGAAUGUGGCUGGAAAUGAUGUGUCCAACUUGCGAGUCACGCCCUGCAAAGGAGGUUGUCUCCCCCUCCAUUCUGCUUUUCCAUCUUCUUGCUGGCUGAGAAGUGGACGGUCCGGGAUCAGCUGCCCUGGAGAAGCCACAUGUUGAGGAUGGUAGAGCCUCCCUGACACCCCAGAACCACUGACAUCUGAAGAAAUAAAUAUUCCUAAGCCAACGUA
Long non-coding RNA from Symphalangus syndactylus (siamang), 5445 nucleotides. RefSeq lists it as uncharacterized. NCBI's taxonomy places the organism in Eukaryota, Metazoa, Chordata, Mammalia, Primates, Hylobatidae. The record is from RefSeq and is a predicted model, not a curated record.